CAGCAUUCACCCUGGGGCGGGGCCUCUGGCACUUCACGGUCAUGCCUUUUGGCCUGUGUAACGCGGCCGCCACCUUUGAACGGCUGAUGGAGUGGGUCCUGUCAGAUGUGUCCAGGAGCCGGUGCAUCGUCUACCUGGACGACCUGCUGGUACACGCCUCCUCCUUUGAGUCUGCGCUGGCAAAUCUGAAGGAGGUGUUUGCUGCCAUCCGUGCGGCCGGGCUGAAACUGCACCCCGCGAAGUGCAACCUCCUCCAGCGGCAGGUGAAAUUCCUGGGCCACGUCGUGGACGCGAAUGGAGUGUCCACGGACCCCGACAAAGUGCAGCAGGUGUGAGACUGGCCAGCCCCAGAGAACGUGUUGGAGUUGCAGAGUUUCCUGGGGCUGGCGUCGUAUUAUCGCCGCUUUGUGCGUGGUUUUGCCGCCUCACUGCUAAGGGCACCCCGUUCGAGUGGACCCCUGAGUGCGCAGCCGCCUUUCACCGCCUGAGGGAGGCUCUGACGUCUGCCCCCGUCCUGGCUCUCCCGAUCCCUGGGAGAACUUUCAUCGUGGACACGGACGCCAGCGAUCAAGGCAUCGGAGCUGUGUUGUCGCAGGCGGGAGAUGGAGGUGAGAGGGUGGUCGCAUUCUACAGCCGCCGGCUGAGUCGCCCAGAGAAGAACUACUGUGUCACGCGGCGAGAGCUCCUGGCCGUGGUGGCAGGGAUUAAACAUUUUUGUCCCUACCUCUACGGGACCAGGUUCCUGUUGCGGACCGACCACGCCUCGCUCACAUGGCUCCUAAAUUUCAAGGAGCCAGAGGGGCAGAUAGCACGGUGGCUGGAGCUGCUGCAGGGGUAUGACUUUGAGGUCCAACACCGGCCAGGACGCCUGCACGCCGACGCACUUUCUCGGCGCCCUUGCAGCGCAGGCUCGUGCAGGCACUGCGUUCGGCUGGAGGAGCGGCGAGCGACUGCGGAAGAGACCUGCGCUGUGCUGGCGGCAGAUGUGGCGAGCGAUGGGGGAUCCGCUGACGACACAGAGCUGUUCCGCCGGGCCCAGGAAGCCGAUCCAGAGCUGGCGGUGGUGCGGGGCUUCCUGCAGUCGGGGUAGCGCCCACCCUGGACUGCUGUGGCCCCACACGGACCCACCAUCAAGUCG
This 1138-nucleotide long non-coding RNA is filed under the name Scleropages formosus (Asian bonytongue). Its description in RNAcentral is "lncRNA (ENSSFOG00015032699.1)". Lineage: Eukaryota; Metazoa; Chordata; Actinopteri; Osteoglossiformes; Osteoglossidae. The record is from RNAcentral.